RNAcentral lists this ribosomal RNA (2901 nucleotides) under Escherichia coli LT-68. RNAcentral describes it as "bacterial LSU rRNA". It matches the Rfam family "Bacterial large subunit ribosomal RNA". Lineage: Bacteria; Pseudomonadati; Pseudomonadota; Gammaproteobacteria; Enterobacterales; Enterobacteriaceae. The record is from RNAcentral.
UUAAGCGACUAAGCGUACACGGUGGAUGCCCUGGCAGUCAGAGGCGAUGAAGGACGUGCUAAUCUGCGAUAAGCGUCGGUAAGGUGAUAUGAACCGUUAUAACCGGCGAUUUCCGAAUGGGGAAACCCAGUGUGAUUCGUCACACUAUCAUUAACUGAAUCCAUAGGUUAAUGAGGCGAACCGGGGGAACUGAAACAUCUAAGUACCCCGAGGAAAAGAAAUCAACCGAGAUUCCCCCAGUAGCGGCGAGCGAACGGGGAGCAGCCCAGAGCCUGAAUCAGUGUGUGUGUUAGUGGAAGCGUCUGGAAAGGCGUGCGAUACAGGGUGACAGCCCCGUACACAAAAAUGCACAUAUUGUGAGCUCGAUGAGUAGGGCGGGACACGUGGUAUCCUGUCUGAAUAUGGGGGGACCAUCCUCCAAGGCUAAAUACUCCUGACUGACCGAUAGUGAACCAGUACCGUGAGGGAAAGGCGAAAAGAACCCCGGCGAGGGGAGUGAAAAAGAACCUGAAACCGUGUACGUACAAGCAGUGGGAGCACGCUUAGGCGUGUGACUGCGUACCUUUUGUAUAAUGGGUCAGCGACUUAUAUUCUGUAGCAAGGUUAACCGAAUAGGGGAGCCGAAGGGAAACCGAGUCUUAACUGGGCGUUAAGUUGCAGGGUAUAGACCCGAAACCCGGUGAUCUAGCCAUGGGCAGGUUGAAGGUUGGGUAACACUAACUGGAGGACCGAACCGACUAAUGUUGAAAAAUUAGCGGAUGACUUGUGGCUGGGGGUGAAAGGCCAAUCAAACCGGGAGAUAGCUGGUUCUCCCCGAAAGCUAUUUAGGUAGCGCCUCGUGAAUUCAUCUCCGGGGGUAGAGCACUGUUUCGGCAAGGGGGUCAUCCCGACUUACCAACCCGAUGCAAACUGCGAAUACCGGAGAAUGUUAUCACGGGAGACACACGGCGGGUGCUAACGUCCGUCGUGAAGAGGGAAACAACCCAGACCGCCAGCUAAGGUCCCAAAGUCAUGGUUAAGUGGGAAACGAUGUGGGAAGGCCCAGACAGCCAGGAUGUUGGCUUAGAAGCAGCCAUCAUUUAAAGAAAGCGUAAUAGCUCACUGGUCGAGUCGGCCUGCGCGGAAGAUGUAACGGGGCUAAACCAUGCACCGAAGCUGCGGCAGCGACACUAUGUGUUGUUGGGUAGGGGAGCGUUCUGUAAGCCUGUGAAGGUGUGCUGUGAGGUAUGCUGGAGGUAUCAGAAGUGCGAAUGCUGACAUAAGUAACGAUAAAGCGGGUGAAAAGCCCGCUCGCCGGAAGACCAAGGGUUCCUGUCCAACGUUAAUCGGGGCAGGGUGAGUCGACCCCUAAGGCGAGGCCGAAAGGCGUAGUCGAUGGGAAACAGGUUAAUAUUCCUGUACUUGGUGUUACUGCGAAGGGGGGACGGAGAAGGCUAUGUUGGCCGGGCGACGGUUGUCCCGGUUUAAGCGUGUAGGCUGGUUUUCCAGGCAAAUCCGGAAAAUCAAGGCUGAGGCGUGAUGACGAGGCACUACGGUGCUGAAGCAACAAAUGCCCUGCUUCCAGGAAAAGCCUCUAAGCAUCAGGUAACAUCAAAUCGUACCCCAAACCGACACAGGUGGUCAGGUAGAGAAUACCAAGGCGCUUGAGAGAACUCGGGUGAAGGAACUAGGCAAAAUGGUGCCGUAACUUCGGGAGAAGGCACGCUGAUACGUAGGUGAAGUCCCUCGCGGAUGGAGCUGAAAUCAGUCGAAGAUACCAGCUGGCUGCAACUGUUUAUUAAAAACACAGCACUGUGCAAACACGAAAGUGGACGUAUACGGUGUGACGCCUGCCCGGUGCCGGAAGGUUAAUUGAUGGGGUCAGCGCAAGCGAAGCUCUUGAUCGAAGCCCCGGUAAACGGCGGCCGUAACUAUAACGGUCCUAAGGUAGCGAAAUUCCUUGUCGGGUAAGUUCCGACCUGCACGAAUGGCGUAAUGAUGGCCAGGCUGUCUCCACCCGAGACUCAGUGAAAUUGAACUCGCUGUGAAGAUGCAGUGUACCCGCGGCAAGACGGAAAGACCCCGUGAACCUUUACUAUAGCUUGACACUGAACAUUGAGCCUUGAUGUGUAGGAUAGGUGGGAGGCUUUGAAGUGUGGACGCCAGUCUGCAUGGAGCCGACCUUGAAAUACCACCCUUUAAUGUUUGAUGUUCUAACGUGGACCCGUGAUCCGGGUUGCGGACAGUGUCUGGUGGGUAGUUUGACUGGGGCGGUCUCCUCCUAAAGAGUAACGGAGGAGCACGAAGGUUGGCUAAUCCUGGUCGGACAUCAGGAGGUUAGUGCAAUGGCAUAAGCCAGCUUGACUGCGAGCGUGACGGCGCGAGCAGGUGCGAAAGCAGGUCAUAGUGAUCCGGUGGUUCUGAAUGGAAGGGCCAUCGCUCAACGGAUAAAAGGUACUCCGGGGAUAACAGGCUGAUACCGCCCAAGAGUUCAUAUCGACGGCGGUGUUUGGCACCUCGAUGUCGGCUCAUCACAUCCUGGGGCUGAAGUAGGUCCCAAGGGUAUGGCUGUUCGCCAUUUAAAGUGGUACGCGAGCUGGGUUUAGAACGUCGUGAGACAGUUCGGUCCCUAUCUGCCGUGGGCGCUGGAGAACUGAGGGGGGCUGCUCCUAGUACGAGAGGACCGGAGUGGACGCAUCACUGGUGUUCGGGUUGUCAUGCCAAUGGCACUGCCCGGUAGCUAAAUGCGGAAGAGAUAAGUGCUGAAAGCAUCUAAGCACGAAACUUGCCCCGAGAUGAGUUCUCCCUGACUCCUUGAGAGUCCUGAAGGAACGUUGAAGACGACGACGUUGAUAGGCCGGGUGUGUAAGCGCAGCGAUGCGUUGAGCUAACCGGUACUAAUGAACCGUGAGGCUUAACCUU